GAUGAACGCUGGCGGCGUGGAUAAGGCAUGCAAGUCAAACGGCUCCAAAGAACAAGCUUGCUUGUUUUGAAAGAGCAGUGGCAAACGGGUUAGUAACGCGUGGGUAAUCAACCCCAUUCACGGGCAUAACCGGCCGAAAGGUCGGCUAAUUCCCGAUGGUCUCAUUAUCUCUUAUGAGAAUUUGAGUAAAGGGUAUACGCAAGUAUGCCGGAAUGGGAUGAGCCCGCGACCUAUCAGCUUGUUGGUAAGGUAAAAGCUUACCAAGGCUAUGACGGGUAGGCGAGGUUAGCGCCUGAUCGCCAACAAGGGCACUGAGACACGGGCCCUACUCCUACGGGAGGCAGCAGUCGAGAAUAUUGGACAAUGGGGGAAACCCUGAUCCUGCGACGCCGCGUGAGGGAAGAAGGUUUUCGGAUCGUAAACCUCUGUUGUACGGGAAGAA
RNAcentral lists this ribosomal RNA (442 nucleotides) under uncultured bacterium. Its description in RNAcentral is "bacterial SSU rRNA". It matches the Rfam family "Bacterial small subunit ribosomal RNA", at positions 28 to 449 of the family's 1533-position model. The record is from RNAcentral.